CGUGCCUGAUGGUGUAUUUACAUUGAAAUACUAACAAAAAAUUGUAAAUGCAUUAGUCUGGCAUGGC
Molecule: microRNA precursor, 67 nt
Filed under: Brachionus plicatilis
Lineage: Eukaryota; Metazoa; Rotifera; Eurotatoria; Ploima; Brachionidae
Description: Bpl-Mir-277_pre stem-loop
Source: RNAcentral